Molecule: long non-coding RNA, 983 nt
Organism: Leptidea sinapis
Lineage: Eukaryota; Metazoa; Arthropoda; Insecta; Lepidoptera; Pieridae
Exons: 5
Source: RefSeq, a predicted model, not a curated record
GAAAACAAAACCCAUGUUUUGCGCAAAAAAUACUGUGAUAUUUGUGAAGUGGGUGGCUUGGAGAAGAAAAUAUUUUGUUCGCUUCGCAGUAUACAAGUGAAUUCAAUCGUGUGUUGUUCUUAUUGAGCAAUUAUUUAAAAUGACUGCAACUGGAAGACAGCUUUUCAAUGAAGCCGAAAAGAUUUGUCUGCAGGAGUUAGUGAUCAAAUACAAAUUAAAUUCGAUAGCCACUAUGGGGAGCGCAGUGGCUAAAAAAAAUCCCUGGCUUAGCCUAACAGAGGAGUACAAUGCCAUAGAAACGAAUUCAAAAAGGACUGAAGCUCAACUUAAAAAAUGUUGGGACCAGGCGUAAAAGUAUGUUGGCCUUAGAGAAAAGGGAAAGGAUGAGGACCGGUGGUGGUUCCUCUAAUGCUUACAUACCUAGUACCUGUACUGGAGGAUGCUCUCGCUGAACAGACAGAUGUGGAGUUGGCAGAUGUAAUCGACAGUGAUAACAUACCUUGUAGUGCAGUAAUCCAAAUUGAUGAUGUGAUGUUGUUAGACAUGUCAUCUCAAGUACCAGCAGUUGAACAUGUGUCAGAAAGAGAAAACAUUAUAAACACUCCUCCACAUUUGACAGAGUCACGGUUGACUGAUUAUAGUGCAGCUCCAUCACAAGAGUCAAGAAAUAUACGGACCAGAGUGAUUCAAGAAGAAUUUCACAUCCGUCAACAAACAUAUGGAAAAUCUCAGAAAAGGGAAGAGGAGCUGCAUAAGCUCAGAUUAGCUGAGAAGGAUGGUGAAGGCAGCAGAGGAGAUUUUUCUCAAAGCCAAAACUGAGAGAGAAGCUGCAGAGGAACUUCUCUGCAAUAGAGCCAAAAGAGAAGAGGCUGAAUUAAGUUUAAGAAUAUUUAAAAAUAAAAAUUUUGAAAAUUAAUUUAGUAUUAGGUUGUAUGUAUAUGUUUAUUUCAAUUCUAUGGUGUAAUAAAAAACUUUAUUGCUUA